Molecule: RNA transcript, 696 nt
Organism: Octodon degus (degu)
Lineage: Eukaryota; Metazoa; Chordata; Mammalia; Rodentia; Octodontidae
Gene name: UPF0428 protein CXorf56 pseudogene
Exons: 1
Source: RefSeq, a predicted model, not a curated record
AUGCCCAAAGUGGUGUCUCGGUCGGUGGCUUGCUCAGAUACUCGAGAUCGCGAGGAAUAUGACGACGGCGAGAAGCCUCUCCAUGUUUACUACUGUUUGUGUGGCCAGAUGGUCCUGAUUCUGGACUGUCAAUUAGAAAAGUUGCCUAUGAGACCCCGGGACAGAUCCUGUGUGAUUGAUGCUGCCAAACAUGCCCACAAGUUUUGUAACACGGAAGAUGAGGAGACUAUGUAUCUUCGGAGGCCAGAAGGCAUCGAAAGACAAUACAGGAAGAAAUGUGCAAAAUGCGGACUCCCACUGUUCUACCAGUCCCAGCCAAAGAAUGCUCCCGUAACCUUCAUUGUGGAUGGAGCAGUAGUGAAGUUUGGCCAGGGUUUUGGGAAAACAAACAUAUACACCCAGAAACAAGAGCCUCUGAAAAAGGUGAUGAUGACCAAACAGACUAAGGACAUGGGCAAGUGCAGCUCUGUCACUGUGUCUACCAUUGAUGAAGAAGAAGAGGAGAUUGAGGCUAGAGAAGUUGCUGAUUCGUAUGCCCAGAAUGCCAAAGUGAUUGGGAAACAGCUAGAGCGUAAAGGCAUGAGCAAGAGAAGACUGCGAGAGCUGGCCGAACUGGAAGCCAAGAAAGCAAAACUGAAAGGAACUUUGAUUGACAACCAAUUCCAAUGAGAGGACUUUGCUCUGAGCCGGACACAG